Long non-coding RNA from Neofelis nebulosa (Clouded leopard), 2001 nucleotides. RefSeq lists it as uncharacterized. Lineage: Eukaryota; Metazoa; Chordata; Mammalia; Carnivora; Felidae. The record is from RefSeq and is a predicted model, not a curated record. The transcript has 2 exons.
AAGAAAUGUAAAGAAUGUGAGAAAGCUUCCAGUGCAAGCACUGGCCUUAUUCAGUAUUAGAGAAACCCUAUGAAUGUAAUAAAUGUGGGAGAGCUUUUCAGGGGAGUUCAGCUCUGGUAACAUCUCAGACUACCCCUGUGCAUAAGAAGCUCUAAUAAUGGGCUAUAUAUUCAGGCAAUUUCAUUAAGAAUUCAGGUCUCUUUCAACAGAUAAUAUGUUUGGAAAAGGACGCUACGGAAAGAAGCAUGAGAAAAGCUUCAAGGUCUUUUCCUCUUGACAUGGCAAUUUUUCCCCAUGUCAGACCCUUGUAUGGAGAUAAAUAACUAGUAGCGCAAUUGCUGGGUAGUUCUAUUUUUAAUUUUUUGAGGAACUUCCAUACUGUUUUCCAGAGUGACUGCGCCAAUUUACAUUCCCUCCAACAGUGCAUGAGCAUUCUCUUUUCUCCACAUCCUCACCAACUUAUUAUUUCUUGUCUUUUUUUUUUUUUCUUGUCCUUUUGACACCAGUCAUUCUCACUGGCAUGAGGUAACAUCCCAUUGUGGUUUUGACUUGCAAUUCUCUGAUAAUUUGUAUCUCUUGGUCAUCUGUAUGUCUUCUUUGGGAAAAUGUAUGUUUGCCUCCUCUGCCUGUGUUUUAUUUUUUAAGGUAGGCUCUGUGCCCAAUGUGGGGCUUGAACUUAAGACCCUGAGAUCAACAGUCACAUGCUCUACCAACUGAGUCAGCCAGGCACCCCAUCUGCGUUUUAACAUUUUCUCCCAUUCUGUAGGUACAGAAUUAUGGGAUGAAGUGGGCAAGGAAAGAGACAAAUAGAGCAACAAUCAAAGAGAGUUGGAUUGAAUAAUGAGAGUAACAAUGGGUGUCAAAAGUAGAUGAUGAUGAAAAUAAGCAGUAAGUCUGGGGAUCGCAGUUGAAAGUGACAAAGAAAAGUAAUUUGUUUUCUUUUUUUCUUUAAAGUUUAUUUACUUAUUGGCAGGGUGGGGGGAGCAGGUGCACACAAGCAGCGGAGGGGCAGAGAGAAAGUGACAGAGAAUCCCCUCACUGACUGUGCAGAGCCCAAUGCACGGCUUGAACUCACAAACUGUGAGAUCAUGACCUGAGCCGAAUUUGGACACUUUACCAACUGAGCCACCUAGGUGCCCUGAAAAAUUUGUUUUUAAUUGAUGGUCACGAUAAAUUCAAAUGUACUAGAGGGAACAGGGCCAAUAAGGAGAUAAUACUAAAAAGAGAAAUCUAAGAUAUUUUAGAAUCUUUUUUAACUAAAGACAGCAGGGACCAAGGGAAAAACCAAACAAACAGAGUUCGAUGAGUCUGAAAGAUGAGGCAGAUGAUGUAGCUGCCAUCACAGGAAACAGAAAAGAGGUACAAAAUGGCUUCAAAGGUCCUGGGAAAUUCAGAAAAGGUCAUUUUAAUACAAAAGAGUGAGUUCUGCUUUACAGAGCAAGUACUAAAUGUACAGUGGAGGUUAGGCUAUGGUUACAUAGGAUGAAAACAUAAAUAGCUUUACGUAAACUUUAUGAGAGCAGUCUGCAAAGGUUGUUCAGUGAGGUUAGGAAUGCUGUGCAGCUUCCUCACGAGUCAGAUAAUAGGGACGACAGCGUUAUGUUAUUCCGUAUCACGUCCUCUGCUAGUGCUGCCCAAGCUGGAAUGCUGUACUUGAGAGGACAGAUACUCAGUUGGAUUCAGCACCGUGUUUCUGUUUCAGGUGUUCCGAAUGCUUUUCAACCUAGAUAGCUGGCACAGCUUUCAGCCACCCUCUCUCAAGAUGGAUCCUGACGCUUACCUUGUUCACGAAUGGCCUGGAAGGCUACAUGUUUCUUGGCCUAGAAUAGCUGGUGGCUUCUGUGCUGCCUGGUGAGGAAAUUCUGAACACACUCCUAUUCCACCUGUCCUGGCUACAACCUGGAAACAAUUAAGAUAUGGUUGGGUUUGUGAAAGACUCAAUGAGUGAACCAGAAUUAAUACCUGAUUAUAAAGACACCUCAGGGAACAACUCUCUAGGCA